Molecule: long non-coding RNA, 1584 nt
Organism: Xiphophorus maculatus (southern platyfish)
Lineage: Eukaryota; Metazoa; Chordata; Actinopteri; Cyprinodontiformes; Poeciliidae
Exons: 3
Source: RefSeq, a predicted model, not a curated record
CCUGGGGAUUGAAGAAGUCUUUAAUCUGUUUCUAAAACAUAAUCAGCAUUUAACAUAUAUGUAUUUAAUGACACAGUUAAAAGUAACAAAAGUUUAUUAAACAAUCAGAUUAUAAAAAUUAAAGCAAAUUUAAUGGAACAAAAAAAAAACAACCUCCAAGGCUAAACAGAACUAUUACAUUAUGAAGGGAAAUUAUUCAUAUUUAAACUUAAAACAGAACAGGACAACUACGUGUAGCCUCUAUAUUGAGAUUUUUUUAAAUUAUAUUUUAUUUUGAACACAGGUUUUCUCCUGAAAUGUUUCCUCUUACAUUAAAGGAAUCUGUGCCUUUUAUUGGUCAGCCAGUAGGGACUGAUUUUAUUAAUUAGCGUUACAUGUGUAAUUAUUAAUGCUGUGUGUGCCCUGAACACAAACACAUGUAGGUAAUGAUGGCUGACCUGCUGUAGUCCUGGAAGAUUUUCUUCAGCCUUACCUGCGUCAUCCAAUCGCUGAGUCAUGAGCUUCUACCACAACCAAUCAGCAUCGGAGCGCACCUCAAUAAACUCCUCCAUCUACGGCUCCAUCUACUCACCAGCUGGGCUUCAACCCACCUCCAUCCCUUCUUCUCCACCCUUGGUCCUUCAUCUUCUUCAGACUUCCAUCCUCUCCUUUGCCUCCUCCACCAGUGUCCGGGUCCCGGGGGGAAGACGUCUCUAAUCCUCAUCCUAAUCUGCGCAUCUAAGCCUAUAUCAUUUCACAGCUUCCAUGUCUUCUACCGGACGCCAUAACUUUAAUCCAUAUCACAGGAGAAAUUGGUCUGGAUAGAUUUUAAUUCCCUUUACUGCUUUUUCACAAACGUCAAGCCUGAUUGUUGCAAUUAUAUUUUGAAGUACCCAAUGUUAAAAUUCACCAUUAAUAGAAAACUCACACUUUUUUUGUCUUUUUGCAGCUUGAACCACUCUACCAGGCAGCGUUCGCUUCUUACCGCAGUUUCAUUGUGAUUUCAUUCAGCAAUGGAUCAAUCAUCAACAACAUUGACCUUGGAUUUGCAACAGCAUCCCAACCUAGUAGCACCCAAAUCAAAGAUGUUUUGGUGAAAGCAAAUUCAACCGUCACAGCUUUCAACAUUGACAUCAACUCAAUUUUUGUGGAUGGCACACAAACGUCGAGUGGAGCAAGCCAUACAAUCAGCCUCAUCACUGCAUUCAGCAUGGUCCUGUUGUCAUGGCUUCUUUCAACACAACAAUAACGUCUCUGCUGGCUUCCAGAGGAAAAUCUGCAUGAAAAUGUCAAUUAUUGCUUGUGUGAACAAGAAUGUUGUUCUAAUUCCAAGAUUCACUUAGAAUUUUAAACUUUAAAACAUUUAUUGAAACUUGAUCAUUUCCUCAUGUCAAUUUUGUCUUAUUUAUUAAUGAAAAACUAAUUAUUCUGUGUCAUUGUAUUAACUUAUCAUAUUCAUCAUGAAGGUAUUUCUUGAAGGAUUAUUUAGUUUGGUGAAGAUUUCUCUCUCAAUAAAUAUUGUAGGAUUUACCAAAAAUAAGCUGUCUGAGCAACGUCCUGUAUGAUUGUCCAGUUUUUUUUUUCCUUUUAAUUGUAUUUAUAACA